Molecule: ribosomal RNA, 230 nt
Filed under: uncultured bacterium
Lineage: Bacteria
Description: partial 16S ribosomal RNA
Rfam family: Bacterial small subunit ribosomal RNA
Source: RNAcentral
AAAGCGUGCGCAGGCGGUUAUGUAAGACAGAUGUGAAAUCCCCGGGCUCAACCUGGGAACUGCAUUUGUGACUGCAUGGCUAGAGUACGGUAGAGGGGGAUGGAAUUCCGCGUGUAGCAGUGAAAUGCGUAGAUAUGCGGAGGAACACCGAUGGCGAAGGCAAUCCCCUGGACCUGUACUGACGCUCAUGCACGAAAGCGUGGGGAGCAAACAGGAUUAGAUACCCGGGG